CGUUUCCUUGCUGGAGAGAGAUGGACCGCCGGGCACACCAUACCCACCGCGGCACCCAUCCACCGAAGGAGCAAGCCGCACGGCCAGCCAGGGCGCUGCGGUGAAUCUCUCAGGUAAAGCGGACAGCAGGGCAAAU
Molecule: non-coding RNA, 136 nt
Filed under: Acidovorax sp.
Lineage: Bacteria; Pseudomonadati; Pseudomonadota; Betaproteobacteria; Burkholderiales; Comamonadaceae
Description: Glycine sequence
Rfam family: Glycine riboswitch aptamer
About the family: This family represents the bacterial glycine riboswitch.
Source: RNAcentral